UCAUUCAACAUAAAUCAUGCUCUCAGUCCCUUAAUCAUUCUUGUUAUUCUUCUUUGAAACUCCUCCAGUUUCCUUACAUCCUUCAUUGCAUAAAGAAGAGUUUUUUUUAACAGGACUGUUUCACUUCCAAGAAUCCAUUCUGUGAUGGAAACAGUGGGGGUUAGAAGAUCCAACGCCAUGAGAGACUCCAAGGGAAAUGCAAGGCGUGGUCCUCGAACAGUCGCAGACAUUCACAGGAACUAAAAGGACGUCUGCCACAUCUGACCCAGAAAACUAAUUUUAUAUCCUUUUUUCUCAUAAGUAAUACAGAGAAGGGUUUAUAUGAGGUCUUUUGGUAACAUAGUCUACAUUCUUUUAUUCUGUAUUUAUUUAUUUGGCAUCUACUACGUGAAUGAGAGAGGUCUUGCCCUUCCCAUCAUGUUGAGUGUAGGGAGAUAAACAGCUGGUAGGAUCACAUCUCUUAGGAUCCGAGAUUUGUCUAUCAUCAUCCAUCAACCCUUUCCCCUUUAAUCUGGUCAGAGAGCUGCUAGCGAAGGGUGUCUGAGGGAAACUCUAAGGAAACACAGACCCUAGAGGAAGCAGAAAAAAGCAAAGUUGACAGAAUGUCUUCGUAUCGAUCUACCUUUUCUUGUAUCUGCUUUUUCUUUUCUCUACAGGCCCCUCCCCGUCUCCAAUUUGAAUAUAAACUCCAGAAGAACCAUGUUUUGGUCAUCAGUCUACCCCAAAGCCUAGAAAGGUGCCUGCCACAUAGGAAAACGAAAUCCUGCCAUGAGUAAGUCUGGGGCAUCCUGCUUUUAAAAACCUUUUAUGGGACCAUAAAAUACCUCACCUCACCACCUUUAAGAAGUUGGCUUCAGGAAUGAGAGCAAACUGAAUUGCACGGAGCUGAAAACAAGCCCACAGACUCAUGACCUGAGCCAGGAGCAGACUCCAGAGCAAAGUGUUGUAGACAAGCUGGGACUUUACAUGCCUAAGAACACGGUCAUUUACAACCCGGAGGUACUUUAUUGCUAAUGAUCUUUGAAGUUAACAAGGUUUGCAGAAGCUUUUCAGCAUUAUUAUUACUAUUUACAUCAAUGGCAUUAGUGAUGUCCUUUAUUCUUCCAAGACUUAACACUGCUAAUUGGCAUCAGCAUAAACAGAGGUAUAAAUGCUAUCAUGCAACACAGGCGGAGCCAGCUCUGCAGCUUUGUGGGUUUAAUAUGGAAAUGUUUGCUAUCUAAUGAGGACACAAAACGUUAAUCUGCAGAACAAAUUGUAUUUAUAGAGAAACGAAUUAUCAUAUGCAAAUGUGACACACAUCACUUGCGAAAUUCCUGUUGCCUCUGGGGCGGCCCUCUGUGACCUUUCUGAAAUGCAGCGCUUUGAAGCAGGAGCUAAUGGUUUCAUGCACUGAGGCUGAUUACUUUCAUUUCCAUACAGAAAUGAGCUAAAUGGGAAGGACUCUGGCUCCAGAAGAACACAACAGAGGCCUGGCCUUCGUAACUGUAAGCUGCACUCUGUUGAUUUCUUAUCCUUUGCUUUAAAACUCAGAGUUCUUCUACAGCGUUUGCUGUAUCUGCAAAGCUA
Long non-coding RNA from Acinonyx jubatus (cheetah), 1569 nucleotides. RefSeq lists it as uncharacterized. The record is from RefSeq and is a predicted model, not a curated record. The transcript has 3 exons. Lineage: Eukaryota; Metazoa; Chordata; Mammalia; Carnivora; Felidae.